UCCCUGGUGGCUCAGAUGGUAAAGCGUCUGCCUGCUGUGUGGGAGACCCGGGUUCAAUCCCUGGGUUGGGAA
This 72-nucleotide transfer RNA is filed under the name Ovis aries (sheep). It matches the Rfam family "tRNA". From Rfam's summary of the family: Transfer RNA (tRNA) molecules are approximately 80 nucleotides in length. Their secondary structure includes four short double-helical elements and three loops (D, anti-codon, and T loops). Further hydrogen bonds mediate the characteristic L-shaped molecular structure. tRNAs have two regions of fundamental functional importance: the anti-codon, which is responsible for specific mRNA codon recognition, and the 3' end, to which the tRNAs corresponding amino acid is attached (by aminoacyl-tRNA synthetases). tRNAs cope with the degeneracy of the genetic code in two manners: having more than one tRNA (with a specific anti-codon) for a particular amino acid; and 'wobble' base-pairing, i.e. permitting non-standard base-pairing at the 3rd anti-codon position. Lineage: Eukaryota; Metazoa; Chordata; Mammalia; Artiodactyla; Bovidae. The record is from Rfam by way of RNAcentral.